Molecule: long non-coding RNA, 600 nt
Organism: Mauremys reevesii (Reeves's turtle)
Lineage: Eukaryota; Metazoa; Chordata; Testudines; Geoemydidae
Exons: 3
Source: RefSeq, a predicted model, not a curated record
ACUAGUGCAGGGGAGCCCACGGGCAGGGGCACAGGACCCCCCCGUACACUCGGGGGGGGGGUCUCCUCCUGAGGGGGGGUGAACCGGAGGAGAGGGCGGAGGCAGCAGGCGUGCGAGCAGGCUCUCUGCCGAGGGAAUUGGUGUAAUUGCCACAGAGAAGUUAUGUGAAUGGAAAGAGAAGUGUUGGGAGAGCUGAUAAGAGAAUCACGCUAUUAAAAUCUGAGAAUAUUUGAAUGGAAACCUUAAUAAUUACCAUAGAUAAAGGAGAAAGAAGAUUUUUGUCCCAGACUGAGGGAAGCUACCAGCAGUGCACCAGGAAAUCAAUGUCUUUCUUGAGCCUCCCUGGUUUAGAAGUAAAAACAACUGGCUCAGUUUGAAUGUAAAUAUCUGUGCUUCACAAAGUGAGGAAGAUACAAACCAAAGAGGGUUAUGUGUUUAGUUAAGGAUCAUUACCAUAAAAGUCUGGUUAACACUCCUAUAGCCUAUGAAUAAUAUUCCUAUAUAAUGUGAAUAAAUCUUUUGCUUCAGUGUUUGUCUCUUACCAACACUCAGUAUCUACCACAAGGUUCAUCUUUUCAAGUAGAAUGACAUUUACUAAUA